This is a non-coding RNA of Leptonychotes weddellii (Weddell seal), 8728 nucleotides long. The record is from RefSeq and is a predicted model, not a curated record. NCBI's taxonomy places the organism in Eukaryota, Metazoa, Chordata, Mammalia, Carnivora, Phocidae.
GGGACCUCUGUGUGUGACUUCCAGAUUCUUGCAGAGAAAUGAGGCAUCAAGCCAGAAGCUCAGUUAGUUUUACAGCAUCACCGUCAGGAACUUUUUUUUUUUUUAAGGACCUGACUGUGUGUGCUGUAUGUCUCACUGUUUUAAGAGCUUUCUCUGACACCGAGGACAGUCAUUGCCUGCCCUCAAGGAGAUUGAAGUUUAAGUCAGACAACUUUGAAACCAACAGAUAAAAGGAAACCCAGACAACAGAGCCAGUAUUGAACAAGGAUGGAGAUGACUACUACAGGGAUACAAAAAGCUUCAGGGGUUAUCUGAUCAUUCUCACUUUAAUGGACAUGUCUUACCUUAGUAUUGGGCAUUAAUAAGGUAUUACAAGGUAUUUUCCAAUUAGUUUAGUCAUGGCUCCCUCUACCCCCCGAUAGUGAAUUUACUUGCUUAAGAAAAAGGAUAGUAAAAAAAAAAAAAUCUGAUGUUUUCGAGGUCCUGCUGUGUGCCAUGAACUAUGUGCUUGGUGCUGGACAUUAUGACUUGAAUCAGAGUCCCGUAUAUAUCAGUACCACUUCCUAGACCAUUUUUAACUCCAUUCCUUCUCUAGGGUUUUGUGUUAUUUUUGUCACAGGUUUUCAUUCUACAAAUAAUUAAAAUCCUCUAUGACAUUAUAGUUCCUGUUUUUUGAAGUCAGUAUGUAUUCAGAAUUCCUAACACUACCUUCCUUCUUGUUCCUUUCUGUAUUUCCUUUCUUGCGUCUGCUGGCAUUCAUUUCCUUCAGCUUGAAAAACUGCCUCUGAUAUUUCUUAUAAUACAGAUCUGAUGGUCACAGAUUCUCCCAGUGUUUUGGUCUGAAAAUGCCUUCAGUUCAUCUUCCUUUCUGAAGGACCCUUUUUGUAGUUUAUUGAAUUCCAGGCUGGCAGUUACUUUCUUUUUGUACUUUAACAGUGUUGCAUUAUUGCUUCUGUCCUUUCUGGUGAAGAAUCAUCUGUGCAGCUAGUACUGUUCCCUUUUAAAGUAAUAAUGUCUGUUUCUUCUGGCUGCUUUUACAAUUUUCACAUUGUAUUUUGCUUUCAGCAGUUUAAUUAUUCCCAUCCAAAAGCGUAAUUGUCUUUGUAUUUAUUCUGCUUGGUGUUCAUAUGACUUCUCGAAUCUGUGCUGGAGCUUUCAUCAAUUUUAGCAAAUUCUUAGCCCUUAUGUCUCCAAAUAUGACUUCUGUCCCAUUCUCUUUUCUCUCCUUCAGAGAGACUCCAACUAUAUAUAUUUUUGAGCUUUUCGCUACACCUCACAUGUCUUUUAAGCUUCCUUCUAUAUUUCCCAUCCUUUUUGUUGUACUUCAGUCUGAAUGGUGUGCAGUGCCUGCUUCAUGUGCAGUGGACCUCUGUUCAUCUGUGCCCAGUUAGCUCUUCACCCCAUGUAUUCAGUUCUCAAUUUCAGUUAUUCUACAUUUUAGUAUAGAUAUCCCAAUAGUAAAGUCUAGGUCUCUGUUAAAAUUCUUCAUCUUGUCAUUGGUUUUCUUGAAUAUAUGCAUCCAGGUCUUUCAAAGUCUUUGCCUCCUAACUCAGUAUAUGCAUCACUUAUUUUUCUCUUGAUAUGCCUGGUAAUUUUUUAUGAAUUCUGGGCAUUGCAUAUAAAAACUCACAGAGGCUCUGGAGGAGGUUUUCUUCCUCCAGAGAAGGAUUGGUUUUGGCAAGGGGCAAAUCACUUUCAUCCAAUUAGGGAUAGAGCUGUUUUGCUGCUGAGUUUCAGUGUCUAUAAAAGCAUUGUCUAUUUCUACUUCAUCAUUAUUUUUAUAGCAUAAACCUUCAAGGGUCCCAUUUGAACAUCUUUUUAUCUUUAGGAGACUCUGAACUCCAGUUUCUAUCUUCCCAGUGCCAUGAAAGUGUCAGGAGUCCUGCUUGGCUUCUUAGCUUUGCAGCCACCACCUUUUGCUUGAUGUCUCAGCCUUUUCUUUUGCACUGAAUUGGCAAAUGCCUCAAGAGGAAAAGUGGUAUUGAAACUCAGGUUUACAUUUACCUUCUCUCUGGAAUCUCAGCCAUUCAGGUGCUUGCUUUGGUAGUUGCCCUCUGAUGACUUCAGCAGAUUUAAAAUAAAACUUUCUCCAUCCUUUGUAGUUGUCCUUGGCAGGAGAGUUCUUCUGAUACAAACUAAUCAGUCAUAGCUAGAAACCAGCAAUUUAAUUUUUAGAAGUUAUUUCCAACAAAUCAUGGUAGCCAUAUAGAUACCCCUGACCAGAGAGAAUUCUGGUUUUGGGAAAUCGGAAUCCUUAUUAUUCUCUAACUCAAUAAUUGCUACCUAACGUAAUUUCCUUGACUGUAAGACAGUUGAGUAGGAAAGAAUAGACACUGGUCUCUAGCUGGUCACAUGGGAAGUGCUCUUUCUUAUCAGCCACACAUCUACUACCCAUUUCACAGGUGAGUGCUGACAGUGUCUUUUAUAUCUUAUUAUAUAACACUGCAUCACACUGUAACUAUUUGUUUACUCGUCCCAUCUCCUCUGCUUGACUGGAAGCUGGAAAUAUGCUGUAUUUACCUUUAUAUUUUUAGUGUCUACCACAGUGUCUGACAUUUAGAAGUUGUUCAGCAGAUGCUUUUAGAAUAAAAGGUUCUUGUAGGUAAGGUUAUUUAUAUAAAUGGAUAGUAUCCAUUAAAUUUUCAUUAGUAGUGUCUGAAUUCAGAAAGGUGGGGUUUUUGUGGGGUUUUUGUUUUGUUUUUUUGUUUUGUUUUCUUUUGUUUUUGCCUCUGACCAUGCCCCACAUUUUGGGUAAAUACCUUACCUAGAGUCUGUAUUUGAUCCCCAUGAACUGAAAACAUUCAGGGAGAUUCUCAUGUUCCCUGGGUGUUGGGACAGUGGAAUAGACCUGACAAAAUCCAAGAAGGAAAGAACCCAAUAACACAGACAUUAUUAAAAGGCUGUCAGGAGAUUAGUGCUCACCUUUGCCAGCAUCCCAGGAAAGUUUUUAAAAUUUAGAAUAGAAUAAAAUGUAGCAUGGGACAAAUAAGGAAUGCCAUACUCUCCUGGAAUCAUGAUCUAUCUAGCCCAAAGCUCUGAUUCUGCCUCCAGCAAACUUCCUUCUAUACUAGUGCUUCCUUCAUUUUUUAUUGGCUUAAGACAUGCAUGGAAACAGUUGGGUUUUGUUUGAAUCAGGUAUAUAUUUCUUCUAUAUUAUUAAAACUUAAAAUAUAGUCCUAUUAAAUAAUCUGUUACUCAAACUAUUCUGUACAAAUGAAUACCUCACAUACUUUGCUUUCAUUUCAGGUGACAAGUAUCUGAAUUCCACUAAAUGUAUAGUUCAAAUCUUUCUUCCUGUCUAGCAUUUGGUAUUUCCAAUAACUUGAACCAACAGAGAUGCUAGUAACAUUUGCAUGGAUUCCUUUUACUGAUUUUCAUAUGCCCCAGAAAUGUACCAUUCCAUGUUAAAAAGGUGGAAAUCCAAAGAAUUCUUACCUUUAUUCCCUAACAUUGCCUAGCUACAUCAUACUACCAGUCAGUGCUAUGUGUUUCCUACCUAACAUACCUAAAUCAAAACCAAAUGAAAUGUCUUCGUGAGACUCUUCUUAAAAUUAUGGAAAUAAAAAAUGUAUUUCUGUAAUUCCAGCUUCUGUUAAUGAUGGAAUAGCUCAGUCAUCCAAGGGUAAUAAUGAUGAAAUCUGGACCAUUUGGAAGUAUUGGAGAAUAACCAGAAGCAGGCAGAAACUGAAUAAAUCUAAACUUGAAAGACAAUGUCUGACAUUUGUUCAUGGAUUUUUGCUGGAGGGCAUUCUCCAGUCUUGGGUCAAGGACACAAACAGAAGGAUGGAGUCAAGACCAACAGAACAACCAGAAAAUUAGAGGGGAAGGAAAAAAAAACAGUAAAAAAAAAAAAAUACUGUAUGUGUGAAGAAAUAGGAAAAUGUGAUACUUAGGGAAAAAAUGCCAAUAGAAACAGACCCUGAGGUGACACAGCUAUCACAAUUAGCAAGCAGUAACUUAAGGCAGCUAUUAUAAAUAUGUUCAAGAACCUAAAGGAAGAUAAACACACAAUGAAUUCACAUAUGAGGAAUUGCAGCAGAGAAAUAGAAACUAUAAAAGGACCAAAUGGAAAUUCCAAAGCUGAAAAGUACAAUUAACUGGAAUGAAGAAUUUACUGAAUGAGCUUAACAGCAGAUCGAAGACAACAGAAGAAAGAAUCAGGGAACUAGAAGAUCAAUAGAAAUUAUCCAGUCUGAAGAACAGAAAGAAAACACGUAUCUUAGAUGAGGGCAGGAAAUAAAAGUAGAGCAGAAUUGAAAUGCUCAGUGCUAAUAAAUUCUAGCAACUAAUUCUGCAAAGAAAAAAAUUUAAAAAUAAACAAAACCUGGAUUUUGAAUGUCUGAUCCAUGUAGUGUUUUUUCAAGGGUGAGAGGGAACGUAUUAUCUGAUUUCAAAACAGUGAGUUUUUGUUGGCUUUCAUGAGAUUAGUCCUCUCAUGUGGCCAUAGGUUUCUUAGCUCUCUGUUCUCUUCUUCUUCCUUUCCUCCCCCAUUCCUUCCAGUGGCCAAUGGCCUUUUUCUUCUGUGUGCUCUCUUCAGGAACCAGUUAAUUAUGAAAUGGAAGACGAUUUCAGACAUGGACCAAGGCAAAGGAAGCCUGUGAGAUAGGUGUUUCACCAAAACUAACAGCACUUUCAGUGGCAGCCCGCUUCCUGUGGUCCCAGUGGUAGCACCUUAUCCUCAGGAUGGUUUGGAAAUGAAGCCCCUCAGUCACAUGAAGAUGCCCGCAUGUCUGGCUUCCACAGUCCCCGACUGUGGCCAGUCACCUGAGGAGAGUUUCAAAGAUGACACGGCACCGAGACCUGCUCAGCACACUUGCUGUCAGGACAGUAAGAAUGAGAUCAACUCUGAGUGCACAGAAGAUACAGCACAGUUCAACAGAGGAGACAGCUGUGUCCAUUCAGAAACCGAGAACAAAAUUUUAAGUUGGAAUCCUCUUAUUCUGCCCCUUGUGUCCAAGGACUGUACUGAAAAGACCACCUGGUCUCCUCCUGGCAUUCCUUUAGACAGCCCUGCAGGGAUCCUUCAGCAACCCCAAGAAACCUGAGGGUGUGCAAAUGACCAGUCAUGUUCCCACUUCAAGCCAGUAACUGCACAAAACAGGCCUGGGGAUGGACUGUGUGAAGGACAUGAACUCAAGUCAGAGAAAAUCAUUAUUUAUUUUUUGUAGUAGUAAUGUCCUGUGAAUGUAUCUUAAAGUGUGUGCCCUUUUAUAUUAUUUAUGCCUUAAAAUUUCCCUCUUCCUUCCUCCCCCUCAGUAGGAAACAACCUAAUUUUGCGUAGUUUUCAAUCAUCUGAGAGCGGUGGGAUCAUUCCAUGUUUCUGAGAACCUCAGUGGCCAUAAGAGCUCCUCCUGCAAGGAUCCAGCCUAUUGGCCCAUUUGGCUAAGAGGGAACUGAAGUUUUCAGAUGGAAAGCUGUCCUUUGACGUAUUGUGUUAUCAGACUUUGUGAGAACAUUGGAAGUCACGCUCAGUUGUAACCUAGUGUUUGUAAUAGCAGGUGUCUUAUGAAUUGUAUGAGUGCCUUCCAAAGAAGUGAUAGGUGACUUGUUGACUCUCUGUCUGCACACGGGCACAAAUGAUGUUCGGUUUUCUAGGCACUAGUCACAGACGGUGUCAUGAACAUGGUUGAGGUUAAGGUCUGUGGGGUUAUUGCCGUAUGCAGAUAGGGGACCAUGGCUGGAGAGAAAAAGAUAGCCCUCAGGUCCCACUGCAUUAAAAUUGGAUUGGUUUAUUAGAUUGUCACUCUAGGGCUCUUUCUGACUGUUUCUAAGAGUGGGACAAAAUGAAUUUAAAGUGGCGACUUGGAAAGAAAGACCCACAUUGUGCUCCUGGUGUCACGCCACCCGAAAAUUAUUAUUUUUCAAGCUUCCAACAUGGGCAACACUUGGAAGAUGUGAGUGUCAGAAAAGAUUUAAUUUGGAGGGAAAGGGGUAUGGUUUGAAAUUUCCUGACUUUUUUUAGAAUGUCGUCAUUGUAAACACACACCUGAAGCUUUGGUUAGCAGAGCCCAUAAAUCACAGUUACGGCUCCUUCUGAGUGACAAGGACAUUUGCAGCUGCCUUUGGAAGGCUUUUCUUCUCCACAUCCAAAAAAAAAAAAAAAAACCCACGAGAAAACACUACUCCUAUUUAAUAGCUAUUUUAAUAGCUUAAGUCAAGCUUCAGUAGAUCACUGCUUGUUUUUGGAUUGUGCAUCCCUUUGGGGAAAAAAUUAGAAAAUGAUUCUCUUUAUGUAGAGUCAGGCAGUUUCAGCAUAAAUGAAAAAAAAACAGUUUCCUGGAAACUGCAGUGAAAUAGACUAGAAUACUAUGUUAAUCAACUGUUUGUGUAAAUGCAUCAGUAUCCCCUUAUAUAUGCCUACGUAUCUUAUAAAUAGAGCUGUUAGUGAAAUACGCUGUUUGAGCUGGGUCACUAUGCAAGAAUGACUUUGAGUAGAAUGUAGUGAGUAUAAUUUCAGGGUCAGGUGUUAGGGAUGCUGUAGAAUCAAGUUCUGCAUUCCCAAUGUCCAUACUUAGAGUAUACUGAAUUUAUUCUUCAUGUGGUGUAGAUGCAAUUAGCUUUGGAGGGGGAUAGCUGCAUCCCUUACUUGUGUGACUAACAAAGGACAGAGUCCUCCUAGUGCACAGAAUAUGAAAACAUACCCUGUGUUUUGCCAACCAAGAUACAGCCAUGCUGUCACAAAGGGGGUUUUAGAAAACUGGGGAGUAGAUAUUUGUGGGCAGUCAUUUUGAUUCAGGAAACAGAGGUGUACUAGCAUGAGCCUUAGGUCAUAAACUGCUUUUAAAGAUUGAGUUUGACUAUGGGAUUUGUCCACUAGGAAGAGAAGACGACUUUAUCUUUAGGGCAAUCUCAUUGUGGACUGCUUUUAUUUAUAUUAUUAGUAACGCUGUUUUAAGUGUUAUCCCUUUUAUUGUAUUUUAUUUAUAAAAAAUGCCUUUAUAUAUUGAGACAUAUAAAUAUAAAUAUAUGAAUAUAUAUAUAUAAUUGCCUUACCGUUUAGGAGUUAUGCAUUCUCCCUAACCUUGAGUUGUUCGGAACUUGUAUGACCUACACGGUCACCAACAGUCCUGCCUGGUGUCGCUUCCCCAGGAAGUCAGGACACAGCAGCAUCUGCGGUGUGACCGCUAUAUACCAGGCUCCGUGCUCGGUGCUGCUCUCUGCUAUCUCGUUAACCCUCCCAACAAAUCUCCAACACGGUCCCCCCACCACAGAGCCUGCCUUUCAACCCGAUUUACCCGGAGCCGUAAUCUGGGCUCCUUCCAGUUUUCCAGACUGCUUUCCAAAAGCAUGCGGUUCCCUCUUGCGAUGGAACCAGCCCAGUCCCGCACGCUCUCGCCCUCCCCUGCCGCGUGGUUCCUCUGACCGUGACCCCGAAGCCCAGAAGGUACCCUCCGUCCCACGUGGGCAGAGCUCCGUGCUUAUCACUUGGUCUUCCCAGAGUCCCCGUGUCUCCCAGUGAAAGCCCUCACCACCACCACCCCACGCCUGGGAACGGGAUCGUCCCUGGGCUUAGUGAGCACGUCAUUGGUCAGGCCUCUUCGUGUUCCUUCCCGUCUUAGAAUUCUCUGUGGUUCUUUGUUUUAGCGUCAAACUCCGCCCCCGCUCCUGGUGUAUCAUUUCACUGUGUCCUUUUCCACUAGGUACCGAUAGUCGGCUGAUAGGUGCCGUACAGGAUGUAAGUGAACUUGCAAUGUUUAAACACCUUGUGAAGUGGUCUUUUACAAAAGCAUUUCUUUCUGGGCUUUGUGUUUGUGCAGUGAGUCUGUGAAGACCAGUACAUCUGUAUUAGGCUGACCAUGUCACAGAGAGCUCAUUCCAGGUAGAGUACUGCCAGGAACUUGACCUCAUGGCUGGAUUCCACCUGUGUUGCUUUGUUUUUUUUAAAGUAAUGGCUUUGAGAUGCAUGUUUUUGUAUCCUAUUGAAAAGUGUGUUUUAUUUUCCUGAAAGUUGUAAUGUUAUGUUUGGAACUGUACAUAUUUUAAAUGAUGUAGCGUUGACAGGUUUUAUCUGGUUGAUAUGACUUUAUAUUAAAAGAGAAUGCUGCUUUCCUGUAGAGUAGCACGUGAAGAUGGGGACCGUCAGAUACUCCCUGUUUGUAGAAAGCUGCUUAUAGCUUGUGGUCGGGGUAGGUGUAUGUCUUCCUUGGAAAUUCUUUGGAACCGCCAUCCCCGUCCUCCCCUGAAAAUCCCCAUCGCACGAGCCACAUGAGUUAAUCCCUUCUGUUCUGACCGCAGAGAUCCAGGCCCUGAAGGAACAGGAUCUAGGCCAGCAAGUGUUUUAUGGGGAGGCUGGGAGAAUACCUGAGCCCAGGUGCCCACGCAGGCAGACCCCUCCUUGGGGGGGGGGGAGGGGGCGGACAACUCUAUCUCUUUGGAAGGAAGAGAGGAGGGACGGAGAGCAGCCUGAGGAGCAUGGGGAGGAGUGGGCCCUUCUGGCCUGCUGUCUAUGUUUACCAUUCACUUGGAGCAACAUCUGUGUGAACUCCUGGGCAGACAUUUAGCCUCCUCAAGAAAAGCAGCCCUAAAAAAAAAAAAAAAAAAAAAAAAUCAAAGUGUCUUGGCUGCUUUGACCAGACAGCCAACAGGGUCUUCGGCAUGGGGUGGGGCCUUGUUAUAUUUCAUUCCCCAUGUUGAACUAAGCCUCCCUUAAACCUUAGCUCCAGUCCUGAGCACCUUGAGAGAACUUGAAAUCCCUUUUCUAAUAAAGUCUGAAUCUGUGAGAACCUGA